RNAcentral lists this ribosomal RNA (256 nucleotides) under uncultured bacterium. RNAcentral describes it as "partial 16S ribosomal RNA". It matches the Rfam family "Bacterial small subunit ribosomal RNA", at positions 524 to 776 of the family's 1533-position model. The record is from RNAcentral.
CACGUAAAGGGCAAGCGUUUGUCCGGAUUUAUUGGGCGUAAAGAGCUCGUAGGCGGCUUAGUAAGUCGGGUGUGAAACCUCCAGGCUCAACCUGGAGACGCCACCCGAUACUGCUGUGGCUAGAGUCCGGUAGGGGGAGCGUGGAAUUCCUGGUGUAGCGGUGAAAUGCGCAGAUAUCAGGAGGAACACCAGCGGCGAAGGCGGCGCUCUGAGCCGGUACUGACGCUGAGGAGCGAAAGCGUGGGGAGCAAACAGG